RNAcentral lists this long non-coding RNA (1324 nucleotides) under Strongylocentrotus purpuratus (purple sea urchin). RNAcentral's name for it is "uncharacterized LOC115922297". Lineage: Eukaryota; Metazoa; Echinodermata; Echinoidea; Camarodonta; Strongylocentrotidae. The record is from RNAcentral.
CUUGACCGGAGCGUAAACAACCAUACAUCCACAGACGGCUAAUGAAACACAAAAUACAAAUACAAGAAAGAAAAAAUUAAAUACCCUUUCAUUACUGAGAAAAAUGAAAAUUACAGUACAACUGCCGCCCCCUCCCAAAUUCGCCUCGGUCAAGAGCCCCCGCGCCGCACGGACUUGGGUGACGUCAUUUCGUGUAGACUCGAAUUGUUUGCUAUAAUUCUUCGCCGCGCGAUGUUCGAGAUCUACAUUGAUUUUGCGUACCGUGAAUCCUUUCUGCUUUUUAUCGAUUGAAGUUUGAGAAGUUUUGAGAAGUCUUUCUAAAGAGAAUGGCUACCCCAGUCGUCAGGGCAGAUGCACAAGAUGAUUUAGUUAUGGAAUUUGAGUGUGAGGAGGAUGGCAGUUGCGGGGAAAGCGGUGAAAAUGACAGUGUCAGUGGUAGUAGUGACAGUCCGGACAGUACUGGCAGCAGCAGUGAUACCGACAGCGAUGCAAGUGAUGCAGACGCCGGAGAACACGGGCGUAUCGUCGAGUGGGAGUAUGUAUGAGCCUUUAAUUACCUCGUGGUGAACCUGGGCAAAAUGUUGGCGAUGCUGGAAGGGCCAACAACGCAAAUCGGCUUCAUGAAAAUGUCGAGGAUUGGUGUACAUGUGGAAGAUGUCAUGUGCCUCCAUCUUUCAAUGAAGGUGAUUGUGUCUGUUGUCAGGAAAUUGCAGAGGUCAAGGCAGAGGCUGAUCGACAGGGUUCAAGUUGUCUGGUGGAUUCUGAGGAGUUUGAGCCGGCCAUCCUAAAUGCGACAACAUUGUACAUCGGAUGGAUGGAGUACACAGAUAGGUGGCGCCGAGCAGCCAAAGCAUUUGGGGACAGGAACAAUGAAAAAUACAGGUAUGUGGCCUACAGGAAAGUCGUGAGAUGGUGUUGGGGCUGGCUCGGGAAGGACAUCAGGGUGCAACUGCCAGCAUGUGUCCAUGCCUCAAUAAUGGAAGCGUAUCCUGAUGGACGUGGUCAGUACAAAGGGACCAUCCUGCGUCGGUUGAGAUGAGGAUGUAACAUCAACUAUUGUCUUGCGAACUUUGAAUGACUGUCAUCUUCUAUGUGAUUGUCAGCCAUCUUCUGUACGUUAUUUGUGAUCAUCGGCUUUCAUCUUCAUAUUCAUCACAAAUACUAUUGUUUGAACUUCUCAUGAUGGUAUGGUUGCUAUGAACUUUGAUCUCGACAUUUGAUUCUAAUUUCCAAGAGCUGAUAUUCGAACUUUUGCAAAACUGUGAUCAAGCAACGAUUUCUUAUGAGGAAGAAUGUUGAAAUCUAUAUAAACAAGCAACAACAA